AUAUAUAUAUAUAUAUAUAUAUAUAUAUAUAUAUAUAUAUAUGCCAUCAGUUUAAGAACAAUAAAAUAAACAAUUUACUUAGCAAAUGGUGAUAAUGUUUGUUAAUGAAAGAGAGUACGGGACAAAUUAACAUUUAAACCUUAAACUAGCAGCGCACGUCACUUUCUGAGUGAAGUGCGCGACGUGCGCGUGCCCGUCAUUUUGUAACGGUCAACUUCCAGCAGACGGACACGGAGGAAAGGUAAGUCCUAUAAAUCUACUUUUAUUCAUAGAUUUUAACUGAUAUAACGUUAAAUGCCAUCAAAGAGGAGUAGUGUUUUGUAUUUUUGUAGGUUUUCUCUUUCAAUUUAAUAAAUAAAUGCUCUGUUUGGUUAAUUAGCUCAAAAGCAGUCUCAGAGGUGGUCUAAGGUAACGGUAACUGUUAAAAUCGAAUAUAACCUUACCUGUUUUAAAUUAUUUGAAAUUUAUCACUAUAAACUAUACAGUGUUAACUUUCUAAUCAUUAAAUUUUUAACCGUAGUAACGUUAAUUAGUUUGUUUGAAUACCUGCUGCUCGAGCUUGAUGAUGCUCAUGCUAGCCAUGCUGUGAACUUGAAUAUAAACCGAUAUAACGUUAAAUAUAAAGUUUAACGUUAAUUAGACCGAGGCUGCCGAAAUCAUGUUCAGUGUAACGUUAUGUGGGAUUAAUAAUUUCCCCUUUUCUCCCUCAAGUGGCAGGCUUGUAAAUUCUGUCAUCUGUUCAUUAUUGGUGUUGAUGGUGUUUUUCACAUGCAUGCUUUUUAAUGCUAGUUUAAUUCUCAAAUUGAUCUGAUACUUUCGUUUCACAAAAAGUAAACAAAUUGUUCACUUUCUUAGGGCCUGACAACCACCAGUUGGGUCCAUGAUUCAGGGAAGAGACAGUCUGGGCAGCAGCAACAAGACAACUAUUACAAGUAGAGAUGGGUUUCAAGAACUGGUACUAAUUUGGUUCCUGACUUGUUCAGUACUGAAAACAUUUACAUAAGGUACAGGAUCAAUAGUGCUGCUAUCAGUAUUCUUGUAACAUUGAUUCAUUACCCUUUAGACACAACCACAUAUCCUCCAAAUCAUCUCUGCGUGGAUGGCAGCAAGGAUCCAGGAUCAAGAGAUCAUUCUUCAUGGAGACUGUUCCACAGGAAGCAGUUUCUCCUGGGUCAUCCUGACCAUUCUGCUGUUCUGGAUGUAAGGCCGUGCUGGAACUACAUUUCUCGUGGUUGAAAGAUUUGUGCAGCGGUAUCCAGACAUAUAACGCCCCAUCACACGGGGCGUCAACACCUCUCGUUUACUUUUAAAUGAAGUGACGUCAAGCAUGGUGAAAUUAAUUCUAGAAAUUAAUUCUAAAUAGAAGUUGAAGACUUCUCAAGCGCCAAUGCAGCCGUCCUCCAGUCAGAACAUCUUAUGCAAAUACCCAAGCGCAGACGCAAGCCAAUCGAGUGCAUGCAAUACCAGAAAACUAAUGUGAUUGGCUGUCACUAUGAGAAGAGACAAUUUGAGGGAAAGAUUAAAAACAAGGAGGUCUGGGAAUGACUGAAGGGAUCUGACAGCAGUGAGGGAAGGAAGUAAUCACCAGAAUCUCAGAGGAUGUUGACAGCAGGCCCAGGAUGAAGAAGGAGGAAGAACACGUUUAACAAUUUUCUCAUAAGCUUGCCAUGUGUUAUAAUAAAAACAAUGAACAUGACUACAAUAAUAUGCUUAAUGUUAUUAAAAGAUUACAGUUUGCAAGAAGUCUGAGUGUCUGACUCUACACUAGAGGAACUCUUUUCUGAAGAAGAUCAGGUGCUGAGAAGGAGCCUUGUUCUACAGCAAAACACUGCAUCAAGCCUCCUGUCCUUCCCUCAGAAGAGCCUGUCUUCUGCUGCUGGGGUAAGAAACACCCUCUUCCUCUUCUCUAUCAGCUGUCCAGCACCUAACUCUGCCUCCUCAGCACUGUCUGACAGAGUCUUCUCCACAGUCAGUAAUCA
This is a long non-coding RNA of Carassius gibelio (silver crucian carp), 1979 nucleotides long. RefSeq lists it as uncharacterized. The record is from RefSeq and is a predicted model, not a curated record. Lineage: Eukaryota; Metazoa; Chordata; Actinopteri; Cypriniformes; Cyprinidae. The transcript has 5 exons.